UGUCCGAGUUUCGCGGUUCGGAA
RNAcentral lists this small nuclear RNA (23 nucleotides) under Arabidopsis thaliana (thale cress). RNAcentral describes it as "snRNA_11650". The record is from RNAcentral. Lineage: Eukaryota; Viridiplantae; Streptophyta; Magnoliopsida; Brassicales; Brassicaceae.